This 576-nucleotide ribosomal RNA is filed under the name uncultured bacterium. RNAcentral's name for it is "bacterial SSU rRNA". It matches the Rfam family "Bacterial small subunit ribosomal RNA", at positions 243 to 811 of the family's 1533-position model. The record is from RNAcentral.
AGGUAGUUGGUGGGAUAAAAGCUUACCAAGCCGACGAUCUGUAGCUGGUCUGAGAGGACGACCAGCCACACUGGGACUGAGACACGGCCCAGACUCCUACGGGAGGCAGCAGUGGGGAAUUUUGGACAAUGGGCGCAAGCCUGAUCCAGCCAUGCCGCGUGCAGGAUGAAGGCCUUCGGGUUGUAAACUGCUUUUGUACGGAACGAAAAGACUCCUUCUAAUAAAGAGGGCUAAUGACGGUACCAUUAGAGAAAGCACUGGCUAACCUCGUGCCAGCAGCCGCGGUAAUACGAGGGGUGCAAGCGUUAUUCGGAAUGACUGGGCGUAAAGGGUGCGUAGACGGUAUGUUAAGUCUACUGUUAAAUUCUUCGGCCUAACCGGAGUCAUGCAGUAGAUACUGAUGUGCUAGAGGGUGGAAGAGAGAAGUGGAAUUCCCGGAGUAGCGGUAAAAUGCGUAGAUCUCGGGAGGAACACCGAUGGCGAAAGCAGCUUCUUGGUCCAUGCCUGACGUUGAGGCACGAAAGCGUGGGGAGCAAACAGGAUUAGAUACCCCGGUAGUCCACGCCGUAAACGAUG